AUGUUCUCUGUGUCUCUAGUGCUGCUACUGGCAGCCGCAUCCUGUGUCCACUCUUAUGAGCUGAUUCAGCCUGACUUUCAGACUGUUCGUCCAGGUCAGCAAAUGACCAUCAACUGCAAGCCCUCGUAUUCAGUUACUAGCUAUGAUACAGCUUGGAUUAGACAACCAGCAGGAAAAGCUCUGGAGUUCAUUGGAAUUAUCUACAGUGAUGGGAGCUUAUACUCUCUGAAAAACAAGUUCAGCAUCUCAAGAGACACCAGCAGUAACACAAUAACAUUACAAGGGAAUAAUCUACAGAGUGAAGACACAGCUAUGUAUUACUGUGCCUGUUACACACAUUAUUUCCAUCUGUAUUUAGAGGAGCAGCUCCUGUCAACUCAGCUAUAG
Chanos chanos (milkfish) is the source of this 387-nucleotide non-coding RNA. The record is from the annotation of a RefSeq genome assembly. Lineage: Eukaryota; Metazoa; Chordata; Actinopteri; Gonorynchiformes; Chanidae.